CAGUAGCCGCGGUAAUACGUAGGUCCCGAGCGUUGUCCGGAUUUAUUGGGCGUAAAGCGAGCGCAGGCGGUUAGAUAAGUCUGAAGUUAAAGGCUGUGGCUUAACCAUAGUACGCUUUGGAAACUGUUUAACUUGAGUGCAAGAGGGGAGAGUGGAAUUCCAUGUGUAGCGGUGAAAUGCGUAGAUAUAUGGAGGAACACCGGUGGCGAAAGCGGCCCUCUGGCUUGUAACUGACGCUGAGGCUCGAAAGCGUGGGGAGCAAACAGGAUUAGAUACCCCCGUAGUCCCUGGUCUCUUAUAC
This 301-nucleotide ribosomal RNA is filed under the name uncultured bacterium. RNAcentral describes it as "partial 16S ribosomal RNA". It matches the Rfam family "Bacterial small subunit ribosomal RNA", at positions 509 to 807 of the family's 1533-position model. The record is from RNAcentral.